UCCGGCUUGUCGCCGGCGGUCCCUUUAGAGUGCCCAACAAAAUGAUGGCAACUAAAGGCGAGGGUUGCGCUCGUUGCGGGACUUAACCCAACAUCUCACGACACGAGCUGACGACAGCCAUGCAGCACCUGUCUCACGGUUCCCGAAGGCACAUCCGCAUCUCUGCAGACUUCCGUGGAUGUCAAGGCCAGGUAAGGUUCUUCGCGUUGCAUCGAAUUAAACCACAUACUCCACCGCUUGUGCGGGCCCCCGUCAAUUCCUUUGAGUUUCAACCUUGCGGUCGUACUCCCCAGGCGGGGUACUUCCUGCGUUAGCUGCGGCACCGGAGGGCUCAAUACCUCCGACACUUAGUGUCCAUCGUUUAGGGCGUGGACUAC
This 377-nucleotide unclassified non-coding RNA is filed under the name uncultured Pseudomonadota bacterium. RNAcentral describes it as "uncultured proteobacterium contains 16S-23S intergenic spacer region". Lineage: Bacteria; Pseudomonadati; Pseudomonadota. The record is from RNAcentral.